This 223-nucleotide long non-coding RNA is filed under the name Elaeis guineensis (African oil palm). Its description in RNAcentral is "long non-coding RNA (EGUI_LNC031663)". The record is from RNAcentral. Lineage: Eukaryota; Viridiplantae; Streptophyta; Magnoliopsida; Arecales; Arecaceae.
GAAAAGAGCAAGAUAACAAUCCAAUUGAAUGUUUUCUAGCGGAAGGACAGUCCACUAACUGACCUUCCUUGUUCAAUGGUUCAAAUUACACAUAUCGAAAAACACGUAUGCUCAUAUUCAUUCAAGCACUUGAUUAUGACCUAUGAAGUGUUAUAAUCAAUGGACCACAUUUACCUACUAUCACUAUUGAUGACAAUUGUGUCUCAAAAUUCGAAAAGGAUUG